GAUCAUGGCUCAGAACGAACGCUUCGACAUGCUUAACACAUGCAAGUUGUACGGACUGGUUUCUCGUAGCAAUACGAGGGAAUUAAGUUAGUGGCAAACGGGUGAGUAAUACACGAGAACAUACCCUGUAAUCACGGAUAAUCACCGGAAACGGUGUGUAAUACGAGAUGAUGCAGAAAUGUCAAAGGGAAACCGUUACGGGAGUGGCUCGUGGUAGAUUAGAUAGUUGGUGGUGUAAUGGACUACCAAGUCGAAGAUCUAUAGCUGGUCUGAGAGGACGAACAGCCACAUUGGGACUGAGACACGGCCCAGACUUCUACGGAAGGCAGCAGUGGGGAAUAUUAGGCAAUGGGAGAAAUCCUGACCUAAGCGAUGUCGAGUGAAUGAUGAAGGAUUUUGGUCUGUAAAAUUCUUUUGCGAAGGAUUAUUAUGAAGUUACUUUGCGAAUAAGCACCGGCUAACUUCGUGCCAGCCGCCGC
This 479-nucleotide ribosomal RNA is filed under the name uncultured bacterium. RNAcentral's name for it is "bacterial SSU rRNA". It matches the Rfam family "Bacterial small subunit ribosomal RNA", at positions 15 to 518 of the family's 1533-position model. The record is from RNAcentral.